RNAcentral lists this unclassified non-coding RNA (480 nucleotides) under Hevea brasiliensis (rubber tree). The record is from RNAcentral. Lineage: Eukaryota; Viridiplantae; Streptophyta; Magnoliopsida; Malpighiales; Euphorbiaceae.
CGCCGAUCAGGUAAACCAUUGAAAUUUAUCUCUACUGACUAUAUCUUUCGAUUAUGUUCAGAUCUGCUUAUUUUCUUUCUGUUUUUUCUCUACCUCUUUAGAUCUGUUUUGUUCUUUUCCAAUUUUCUGGGACUUUGGUUUCUGUUGUUUAGAAAACUAUAAUGGUGAAAUUUACCUGAUCUAAGCUAGCAUUUACUUUUGAUCUGUUGGAUCUGUGAAUAUAGAUCGGAUUUGUUGUUUCUUCACGAUCCGAUCUCUUUCGUUUUUUCUUUUUUGUGCUUUUUUAAUGUUUUAGACCUGUUUGGUAGGUGGUUUUUAUAGCUGUCUAUUGAUCUUGAUUAAUUUCUAUGUGGCUUAAAUCUGUUGGAACCACCUAAAGUUAUUGCUUUAUUCUCAAUUUGUUUUUAAUUAAUUUUGGGCUUGCUGUUUUCACAUGAUCUAAAUAUAUUUUCCAUUAAAGAAAGUAACUUUUUUUUUUUU